Molecule: long non-coding RNA, 206 nt
Organism: Micropterus salmoides (largemouth bass)
Lineage: Eukaryota; Metazoa; Chordata; Actinopteri; Centrarchiformes; Centrarchidae
Exons: 2
Source: RefSeq, a predicted model, not a curated record
CAAAAUGUCUCGAAAGAAGUUCAGGCCUUGCCCCUCCUGCCAAGCACCUAACCAGGUGAGCCGCAAAACCUGCAGCUCUUGUUUCGCAGCCAUCUCCCAAAAAAGAAAGUAGCGGCCAAAAAAGUGACCCUGGACAGGAAGUGGGGGGAAAGGGUCCUAAAAAACAGAAAUGCAGGAAGAGUGGUGGACUCUGCCCAUAUUGCAGU